UAUGUAGUGCCUGACAAAAGGAUAGCUUUGAUAGAGCUAAUAAUGUGUUUUAAUCUCACCUACAUAA
RNAcentral lists this transfer RNA (67 nucleotides) under Trapezia serenei. RNAcentral's name for it is "tRNA-Ile". Lineage: Eukaryota; Metazoa; Arthropoda; Malacostraca; Decapoda; Trapeziidae. The record is from RNAcentral.